UGGUGGAGUGAUCUGUCUGGUUAAUUCCGUUAACGAACGAGACCUUGGCCUGCUAAUUAGUUGGUGCCAUUCCGAUGGUAUUCAACUUCUUAGAGGGACUAUCUGUGAGGAGCAGAUGGAAGUGCGAGGCUAUAACA
Molecule: ribosomal RNA, 137 nt
Filed under: uncultured eukaryote
Lineage: Eukaryota
Description: partial 18S ribosomal RNA
Rfam family: Eukaryotic small subunit ribosomal RNA
Source: RNAcentral